GAUGAACGCUAGCUACAGGCUUAACACAUGCAAGUCGAGGGGCAGCACGGUCUUAGCUUGCUAAGACUGGUGGCGACCGGCGCACGGGUGAGUAACGCGUAUCCAACUUCCCCUUAGUAGGGAAUAGCCCGGUGAAAAUCCGGAUUAAUGCCCUAUGUCUUCACAGCGGACAUCUAACGUGAAGCAAAGAUUCAUCGCUAAGGGAUGGGGAUGCGUCUGAUUAGGUAGACGGCGGGGUAACGGCCCACCGUGCCUGCGAUCAGUAGGGGUUCUGAGAGGAAGGUCCCCCACAUUGGAACUGAGACACGGUCCAAACUCC
Molecule: ribosomal RNA, 319 nt
Filed under: uncultured Prevotella sp.
Lineage: Bacteria; Pseudomonadati; Bacteroidota; Bacteroidia; Bacteroidales; Prevotellaceae
Description: bacterial SSU rRNA
Rfam family: Bacterial small subunit ribosomal RNA
Source: RNAcentral